RNAcentral lists this ribosomal RNA (732 nucleotides) under Rhodococcus sp. (in: high G+C Gram-positive bacteria). RNAcentral describes it as "bacterial SSU rRNA". It matches the Rfam family "Bacterial small subunit ribosomal RNA", at positions 151 to 896 of the family's 1533-position model. Lineage: Bacteria; Bacillati; Actinomycetota; Actinomycetes; Mycobacteriales; Nocardiaceae. The record is from RNAcentral.
GGGAAACUGGGUCUAAUACAGGAUAUGACCGCAUGCCGCAUGGUGUGUGGUGGAAAGAUUUAUCGGUGCAGGAUGGGCCCGCGGCCUAUCAGCUUGUUGGUGGGGUAAUGGCCUACCAAGGCGACGACGGGUAGCCGACCUGAGAGGGUGACCGGCCACACUGGGACUGAGACACGGCCCAGACUCCUACGGGAGGCAGCAGUGGGGAAUAUUGCACAAUGGGCGGAAGCCUGAUGCAGCGACGCCGCGUGAGGGAUGAAGGCCUUCGGGUUGUAAACCUCUUUCAGCAGGGACGAAGCGUGAGUGACGGUACCUGCAGAAGAAGCACCGGCUAACUACGUGCCAGCAGCCGCGGUAAUACGUAGGGUGCGAGCGUUGUCCGGAAUUACUGGGCGUAAAGAGUUCGUAGGCGGUUUGUCGCGUCGUUUGUGAAAACCCGGGGCUCAACUUCGGGCUUGCAGGCGAUACGGGCAGACUUGAGUGUUUCAGGGGAGACUGGAAUUCCUGGUGUAGCGGUGAAAUGCGCAGAUAUCAGGAGGAACACCGGUGGCGAAGGCGGGUCUCUGGGAAACAACUGACGCUGAGGAACGAAAGCGUGGGUAGCAAACAGGAUUAGAUACCCUGGUAGUCCACGCCGUAAACGGUGGGCGCUAGGUGUGGGUUCCUUCCACGGGAUCUGUGCCGUAGCUAACGCAUUAAGCGCCCCGCCUGGGGAGUACGGCCGCAAGGGCU